CGGACGGGUGAGUAAUGUCUGGGAAACUGCCUGAUGGAGGGGGAUAACUACUGGAAACGGUAGCUAAUACCGCAUAACGUCGCAAGACCAAAGAGGGGGACCUUAGGGCCUCUUGCCAUCGGAUGUGCUCAGAUGGGAUUAACUAGUAGGUGGGGUAACGGCUCACCUAGGCGACGAUCCCUAGCUGGUCUGAGAGGAUGACCAGCCACACUGGAACUGAGACACGGUCCAG
This 232-nucleotide ribosomal RNA is filed under the name uncultured bacterium. RNAcentral describes it as "partial 16S ribosomal RNA". It matches the Rfam family "Bacterial small subunit ribosomal RNA", at positions 99 to 334 of the family's 1533-position model. The record is from RNAcentral.